GAUUUCUGACGAAACUGCUAGCUGGCCCGCCACGUCAGUGUGUGAGUGCCGGCUUGGCGUUUGUCAUCCGUUCGAAUGAUAUGCGCGCUGCCCUUCACUGGGUUGGCGCUGCAUGUUUUCGAUCUUUUACUUUGAAAAAAUUAGAGUGUUUCAAGCAGGCAUUUUUGCUAUGAAUACAUUAGCAUGGAAUAAUAAUUUAGGACUUCGGUUCUAUUUUGUUGGUUUCUAGGACUGAAGUAAUGAUUGAUAGGGAUAGUUGGGGGUGCUAGUAUUCAGCGGCCAGAGGUGAAAUUCUCGGAUUCGCUGAAGACUAACUUAUGCGAAAGCAUU
This 330-nucleotide ribosomal RNA is filed under the name uncultured Cercozoa. Its description in RNAcentral is "SSU rRNA". The stretch from base 119 to 330 matches the Rfam family "Eukaryotic small subunit ribosomal RNA", at positions 744 to 955 of the family's 1831-position model. Lineage: Eukaryota; Cercozoa. The record is from RNAcentral.